This 253-nucleotide ribosomal RNA is filed under the name uncultured bacterium. RNAcentral's name for it is "partial 16S ribosomal RNA". It matches the Rfam family "Bacterial small subunit ribosomal RNA", at positions 524 to 776 of the family's 1533-position model. The record is from RNAcentral.
UACAGGGGGUGCAAACGUUGCUCGGAAUCAUUGGGCGUAAAGCGCACGUAGGCGGUUCGUUAUGUCGGAUGUGAAAGCCCUUGGCUUAACCGAGGAAGUGCAUCCGAAACUGGCGAGCUAGAGUACGAAAGAGGAUCGCGGAAUUCCCGGUGUAGAGGUGAAAUUCGUAGAUAUCGGGAGGAACACCGGUGGCGAAGGCGGCGAUCUGGGUCGAUACUGACGCUGAGGUGCGAAGGCGUGGGGAGCAAACAGG